RNAcentral lists this transfer RNA (63 nucleotides) under Synedra sp. RCC2510. It matches the Rfam family "tRNA", at positions 6 to 65 of the family's 71-position model. Rfam says of the family: Transfer RNA (tRNA) molecules are approximately 80 nucleotides in length. The record is from RNAcentral. Lineage: Eukaryota; Bacillariophyta; Fragilariophyceae; Fragilariales; Fragilariaceae.
CUUUAGCUCAGUAGGCAGAGCGUCGGUCUCAUAAUCCGGAGGUCGUGAGUUCGAUCCUCACAG